This 253-nucleotide ribosomal RNA is filed under the name uncultured bacterium. RNAcentral's name for it is "partial 16S ribosomal RNA". It matches the Rfam family "Bacterial small subunit ribosomal RNA", at positions 524 to 776 of the family's 1533-position model. The record is from RNAcentral.
UACGAAGGUCCCGAGCGUUAUCCGGAUUUAUUGGGUUUAAAGGGUGCGUAGGCGGCUCAUUGCGUCAACCGUGAAAACCAGCAGCUCAACUGUUGGCUUGCGGUUGAUACGGGUGGGCUGGAGUUCGGUAGGGGAGACUGGAAUUCCUGGUGUAGCGGUGAAAUGCGCAGAUAUCAGGAGGAACACCGGUGGCGAAGGCGGUUCUCUGGGCCUGACCUGACGCUGAGGAGCGAAAGCGUGGGGAGCGAACAGG